UGCCCAACAGCUAGCCCACAAACUCAACAACAACCAACCAUUAUUUAUAACCCCAAAUGCACGAGUGUUUUAAUUAAACAAACCAUUUUUCCCCUUUAGUAUGGGCGACAGAAAAAGGACUUAGGAGCAAUAGAGAAAGUACCGCAUAGGGAUCGCUGAAAGAGAAAUGAAACAACCCAGUGAAGCUAAGUAAAGCAGAGAUUUAUUCUCGUACCUUUUGCAUCAUGAUUUAGCCAGCGUGACCCAAGCAAAGAGUGCUUUAGUUUGACAACCCCGAAACUAGGGGAGCUACUCCAAGACAGCCUAUUUAUAGGGCGAACCCGUCUCUGUGGCAAAAGAGUGGAAUGAGCUUUGAGUAGAGGUGAUAAACCUACCGAACCUAGUUAUAGCUGGUUGCCCGGGAAAUGGAUAGAAGUUCAGCCUCUCAGAUUUUUUAUUCACCUCAGUAUUACCCCACCUGAUACCACAAGAAACUGUGAGAGUUAUUCAAAGGGGGUACAGCCCCUUUGAAACAAGAUACAACUUUUCCGGGAGGAAAAAGAUCAUAAUAAAAUAAAGGUAAGUAUUUGGGUGGGCCUAAAAGCAGCCACCCCAGUAGAAAGCGUUAUAGCUCAAAUACACCACUACCCCUCUCUAUCCUGAUAAUUAAUUCUUACUCCCCCCUUCCCUACCGGGCCAUCCCAUGCAAACAUGGGAGGGACCCUGCUAAUAUGAGUAAAUAAGAGAGCCAAGCCUCUCUCCUUGCACACAUGUAAUUCGGAACGAACCCGCACCGAGCAUUAACGGCCCCAAACGAAGAGGGACCUGAAACAACAACCCAAACAACCAGAAAAAAAUUCAAACAUAAACCGUUAACCCCUACACAGGUGUGCACCUAGGGAAAGACUAAAAGAAAGAGAAGGAACUCGGCAAACAAAUCAAGCCUCGCCUGUUUACCAAAAACAUCGCCUCUUGCAAAGCUAAAGAAUAAGAGGUCCCGCCUGCCCUGUGACUAUUAGUUUAACGGCCGCGGUAUUUUGACCGUGCAAAGGUAGCGCAAUCACUUGUCUUUUAAAUGAAGACCUGUAUGAAUGGCACAACGAGGGCUUAACUGUCUCCUCUUUCAAGUCAAUGAAAUUGAUCUCCCCGUGCAGAAGCGGGGAUAUAAACAUAAGACGAGAAGACCCUAUGGAGCUUUAGACACCAAAGAAGAUCCUGUCAAGUAACCCCCUAUAAGGGCCUGAACUAAUGGAAUCCUUCCCUAAUGUCUUUGGUUGGGGCGACCGCGGGGAAACAAAAAACCCCCACGUGGAAAGGGAGCACCCCCUCCUACAACUAAGAGCCGCAGCUCUAAUUAACAGAAUAUCUGACCAAUAAGAUCCGGCAAUGCCGAUCAACGGACCGAGUUACCCUAGGGAUAACAGCGCAAUCCCCUUUUAGAGCCCAUAUCGACAAGGGGGUUUACGACCUCGAUGUUGGAUCAGGACAUCCUAAUGGUGCAGCCGCUAUUAAGGGUCCGUUUGUUCAACGGUUAAAGUCCUACGUGAUCUGAGUUCAGACCGGAGUAAUCCAGGUCAGUUUCUAUCUAUGGUGUGCUCUUUUCUAGUACGAAAGGACCGAAAAGAAGAGGCCCCUGCUCUAAGCAAGCCUCACCCCCACCUAGUGAAGACAACUAAAGUAGGCAAGAGGGCAUACCCCCACUGCCUGAGAGAACGGCAU
This 1698-nucleotide ribosomal RNA is filed under the name Sebastes vulpes. RNAcentral describes it as "16S ribosomal RNA". It matches the Rfam family "Bacterial large subunit ribosomal RNA". Lineage: Eukaryota; Metazoa; Chordata; Actinopteri; Perciformes; Sebastidae. The record is from RNAcentral.